UAAAAUGGAUGUUUUUAUUAAAUAAAUAGGAUUUAUUCCUAUGAAAAGUGUGUAUUGAAAACUUGGGUUUUUACCCAUAUGUUUAAUGUGGUGGUUUACUCUGAUUAAAUAUUUCCUAACUACGGUCCUGAUGAAAAUUUCCGCUGCCAAAUUGGAUAAAUAAAAUGUGAUACCACCGAAACUGGCUCACGGCCGCCCGUUCCCGGGAGAUAGGGAUCGGGGGCUGUGACAGAAGGUGGUAUCAGAGCUAUGCCACUGAUUCAGCCACAGAAGUGUUCUGCUGACAUCAAAAUUCAAAGUUAUGAGCGACCAAGGACCUUCUGACGCCUAUCGUCAACUGUCUGGUUCGCCUAGGAGCGAAGGCACCUCCUCUUCUCAGCCUGCCCUCUCAGGGUAUUCUGCUGACACAGAAGAAGGGAUCUUUGUGUUUAAGGCUCAGUCUGAAGAGCCAUUUCCUCAGAAAAAGAGGGGAUGGUUCAGUAGGGGAGCGCACGAG
RNAcentral lists this long non-coding RNA (496 nucleotides) under Helianthus annuus (common sunflower). RNAcentral's name for it is "hypothetical non coding rna". The record is from RNAcentral. Lineage: Eukaryota; Viridiplantae; Streptophyta; Magnoliopsida; Asterales; Asteraceae.